GACGAACGCUGGCGGCGUGCUUAACACAUGCAAGUCGAACGGAAAGGCCCUGCUUUUGUGGGGUGCUCGAGUGGCGAACGGGUGAGUAACACGUGAGUAACCUGCCCUUGACUUUGGGAUAACUUCAGGAAACUGGGGCUAAUACCGGAUAGGAGCUCCUGCUGCAUGGUGGGGGUUGGAAAGUUUCGGCGGUUGGGGAUGGACUCGCGGCUUAUCAGCUUGUUGGUGGGGUAGUGGCUUACCAAGGCUUUGACGGGUAGCCGGCCUGAGAGGGUGACCGGCCACAUUGGGAAUGAGAUACGGCCCAGACUCCUACGGGAGGCAGCAGUGGGGAAUAGUGCACAAUGGGGCGAAGCAUGAUGCAGCAACGCCGCGUUAGGGAUGACGGCCUGCGGGUUGGAAACCGCUUUCGCCUGUGACGAAGCGUGAGUGACGGUAAUGGGUAAAGAAGCACCGGCUAACUACGUG
This 468-nucleotide ribosomal RNA is filed under the name uncultured bacterium. Its description in RNAcentral is "partial 16S ribosomal RNA". It matches the Rfam family "Bacterial small subunit ribosomal RNA", at positions 28 to 507 of the family's 1533-position model. The record is from RNAcentral.